CUGAGAGACGUUGGAGUCUGAGAGACGCUGGAGUCUGGGAGACGUUGGAGUCUGAGAGACGCUGGAGUCUGAGAGAUGCUGGAGUCAGGGAUGAAACCAGAAUCAUGUGAAACUCGGGUUUGAAUUUCCUCCAUUUUGUUUUCAUCUUUACGGAAAACAUCUUUAACUUCAUCCUUCUGCCUCUGUUCAGCUCCUCUGGGAUCUGAAGUCAAAGGUCAGGUGUCAUUUCAGCUUCUCCUGGUUGUGAAAACAAAACCUGGUUGUCAUGGUUAUGCAUCAAAACAAAAGUGGGUCGGAUCAGAUGGCUGCUGGUACUGAACCAGGCUCUGGUUCUGGUUCUGCUGCAGGUUUCUUCCUGUUAAAAUGAAGCUUUUCCUCUCCACUGUCGCCCCCUGCUGGUCAGGAAGAGUGUGGGACAAUGACUUGAUGCUUUGUUUAGAGUUCCCUCAGGUGUCUGCAGCCAGUUUACCAGGGUGAUGAUGAUGAUGAAGGUCCCUCUGUGAAGCAAGGCUGCCCCCUGCUGGCCGAGCUGAGAACUUAGAGCGCAAAAAUACAAAUCAAACACCGGAUUAAAUUUAAACUCAUAUUCCUGCUGUUAUUAGAGUCCAGAUGAAGAAGGUCGUUGUUAGAGAACCUGCUGCUGUUCUGAUGGAUCGGCGUUGCCAUGGCGACGAACCUGCGUUUGGACUCCUGGACCUCCGUUCAGGCCGGACGCCCCGCUGGCUGCUGGCUGUGUUGCCUUCAGGCGCUGAAGAUGAGGAAGAGGAGGAGCAGCGAGGGC
Xiphophorus maculatus (southern platyfish) is the source of this 781-nucleotide long non-coding RNA. RefSeq lists it as uncharacterized. The transcript is spliced from 4 exons. Lineage: Eukaryota; Metazoa; Chordata; Actinopteri; Cyprinodontiformes; Poeciliidae. The record is from RefSeq and is a predicted model, not a curated record.